UAAAUAAGGUCUCGUAGUGACCUGCGGAGGGUCAUUACCGAGUGGAGGGCGCCCCGGCGCCCGACCUCCCAACCCUUUGAUUUGAUCAAGACCUCCUUCUGCCUCGGGGGCGACCCGGCCCUCCCCCCUUCACGGGGGGCGACCCGGUCCCCCCGGCGGCGCCCCAACCAAACCCUGCAUCAAUUGUCGUCUGAUGUCUUUGAUAAAUUCAAUCAAAACUUUCAACAACGGAUCUCUUGGUUCUGGCAUCGAUGAAGAACGCAGCGAAAUGCGAUAAGUAAUGUGAAUUGCAGAAUUCAGUGAAUCAUCGAAUCUUUGAACGCACAUUGCGCCCUUUGGCAUUCCGAAGGGCAUGCCUGUUCGAGCGUCAUUACACCAAUCACGCCUGGCGUGGUUUGGGCGACGGGGCCGUCACACGCCCCGCGCCCCAAUGACCUUCCGGCGGGACGGACCGUAUCUCAGCGUUGUGCAUCACGUAUUCGCUGGCGAGGACGGGACGGCCGAGCCGUUAAACAACCCCCUUCUCAGGUUGACCUCGGAUCAGGUAGGGAUACCCGCUGAACUUAAGCAUAUCAAAA
This 578-nucleotide ribosomal RNA is filed under the name Devriesia sp. 45NNYY8ZZ1-11. RNAcentral's name for it is "eukaryotic LSU rRNA". The stretch from base 217 to 370 matches the Rfam family "5.8S ribosomal RNA". The record is from RNAcentral. Lineage: Eukaryota; Fungi; Ascomycota; Dothideomycetes; Mycosphaerellales; Teratosphaeriaceae.